CUAUAUAAUUUUAUUUUUAGCUGGCUUAUGUAGCAUCCCAGGAAACUUUAAAGGAAGCUACACUAAACGGACCGUCCGGGCCGACAUUAGACGAAGAAUCAUUGACACCACCAGCUCCGUUAACGUUGAGCGGUGAUGGUUACAAGCAGGUGAAAAAGUUGUGCAUGGUCAGCCCCGGAAGUAACAACUACUGUGUGCAACAGAUGAAAGGGCUAUAAACAAAAAAUUUAAAAUUCCGUCCAAUUUUUCGACAAUAUGAAAUUGAAACAGUAAACAUAUGUUGACCAAA
This is a long non-coding RNA of Cydia splendana, 289 nucleotides long. RefSeq lists it as uncharacterized. The transcript is spliced from 5 exons. The record is from RefSeq and is a predicted model, not a curated record. Lineage: Eukaryota; Metazoa; Arthropoda; Insecta; Lepidoptera; Tortricidae.